AAUGAUCUCCAAUCAAAUUGACAGACCAUCAAAAGGUAGAUCUACGAUACUAAAAUCAAAAUAAGUUAUGAACAGAACAGGAAACAGAAUUUCGACUCAAACCUGCCCCAACAUGAUAAAAUGGAUACAGGGUAUUUACAUCCGAAAUUGCUCGUACAACAUUCAUCGGUUGAUGGCCAACACAUCACCUAAUCAUGUACAACUUCCGUAACAGGACUUGUUCAUCUCAACUAGAAACCGGUGUCCAAUCCUCUGAAAUGGCAGGGUUACAACCAGCAUCUCGCAAGGAUGCAAAUAUACCAUAAAAAGGAUUAGACCUCCGUACAACAACAAUACUAGGCAUAAUACCUGAUCAUUCAAGCAAGCCACACAACUUGCCUUCGUCAAGAUUAGCUGCACACUAAAAUCACUCAAACUUCGCACACAUUCUCAUAUUUACAGAACUUAUUGUCCAAUCCUCCCUCUAACCUCAAUAUUCUAUCCUCACAGGCUGAAAUACGAAAUUCCUAGCCUUGGGGGAGCAUAGCAAGGUUGCCAACGACACAAAAAAGCUAGUCAUCGUGCUGAUAGAGAACGCCCCAAGGGACACCCAUCCAUUCUCUCCAUGCCAGUCACUGAGCCAGCCAUGACGAUUAUUUCCUGAAAUUUUCCCUUCUGGCAUUGUUGCAUCCAUAGUGCACCCUUCCCCACCGCAUAUCCCAGGGUUUCCUGCCAACGCUCCUGGGAAUUUCCGCAACCCAUCGGUUGUUGGCAAAGGCCCAGAUAGGCUAUUGUAAGAGAGGUUAAGCGCCUCGAGCUCUGUCAUGGCAGCAAUUACAGGAGGCACCUCCCCUGACAGCCCAUUAUGUGAGAAGUCCAGCGUCCGCAGCCUCCCCAUCCCCCCAAGCCCUGCAGGGAUCUGCCCAGCUAAGUAAUUGCAAGAGAGGUUCAGGUACUCCAAUCCCUUCAUUGCAACCAACCCUUCAGGUAUCUCUCCAUGGAGCAAAUUCGUUGAUAGAUCUAUACCAGGAGCUGCCCGAAGAUCAUAACCAAGCUCAAGCUGCUGACCUGUGGAAUCAACAGAUGCUGACACAAACAAUUGAGGUGAAAUCAUACCACCGGAUGGAAUACCCUGACCACCACCUGCGCCAUUAAGCACUGAACUUGCAUUGAAACCACCAUCAGGGAUGAAACCCUCAAAUCUAUUUCCAGACAAAUCAAGCCACUGGAGAACCGGGAAUGAGAACAUCCAAUCUGGUAGCUGGCCGGAGAGCUGAUUAUCAGCCAGCGAUAGGGACCUCAGGCUCUGCCAUUUCGCCACAGCCCCACUGAGCUCCCCAGUGAUCUCAUUUCCCAACAAGAUCACCACCUCAAGAGACCGGCACCCAGCCAGCGGCAGCGGAAUCUCACCAGAUAUCCGGUUGUUCGACAAAUCUAGAACCUUCAGACUAUCAAGUGCAUCAAGCUCCGGCCGCAGCGCCCCAGAGAGCUGAUUCCCCCCGAGACGCAGGUACAGAAGCUGGAAGCAGCCGGCAAGCCCCGCAGGCACUAGACCGGACAGCCGGUUAUGUGACAAAUCCAGCGCCUGCAAGUAGGUCAGGUUCCCAAUCCCAGCUGGGAUCUCCCCGGACAGCUGAUUGUCCGCAAGGAACAGGCCCUGCAGGCUCCGUAUCGCGGUUAUCCCCGCAGGGAUCUCGCCGGAGAAGCGGUUGUGGGAGAGGUCGAGGAGGAGGAGGCUGGAUGCGUCGGGGUCGGCGACGAUACGCGGCGGGACGGCGCCACAGAGGGCGUUGCUGGAGAAAUCGAGGGCAACGAGGCGCGAGGAGAAGGAGAACCACGGGGAAAGUGGGAACCCGAGAGAGUUGGACGAGAGAUUGAGGGUGCGGAGGGCCGGGAGCGAGGCAGGGAAGCAGGUGGGGAUGGCACCCGAGAGCGCGUUGCGGGAGAGGUCGAGGUUGACAAGCGAGCGCGGUAGGGAGCAGGGGAGCUCGCCGGAGAGCGCGUUGGCGGAGAGGUCGAGCUCUCGGAGGCGGCGUAGGAGCGCGAGCGAAGGGGCCGGGAGCGGCCCGGAGAGGUUGAGGCCCUGGAGCGCGAGCGCCGCGACGGAGGGCGGAGCGGCCACGGCGGCGGCGGCGGGUGGGUGGAGCGAGACCCCGAGCCAGGACGCGGAGAGCGGACCGUGCCAGGAGGAGAGCGCCGCGUGGGAGGGCGGGGAGAGGGACGCGCGGAAGGCGAGUAGCGCGGCGCGGUCGGUGGAGGCGGGGGCCACGCGGCGCGGCCCGGCGGCGAGGAGCAGAAGCAAGAGGGCGAGGACGAGAGGGGUGGCCGGCAUGGUGGUUCGGUUGGUGGUGGCUAGGGUUUUGCGGGGUUUGAGCGCGGCCGGCGUGGGAGGUGGUGGGGGAACCGGAUCCUCUGCCGUGGCGCUGGGCACGGCACACGUACCGUGCCUUCUUACGACGACCCCAGCGAACGCAUUGACAUGGGCCAAGAAAGCCCAUCUACUCAGCCGUUGCCUAAUGCAAUCAGUCGUUCACAGCUGCCGCAAAACUAAAAAAAAAAAAACUGCCGCAAAACUGAAGAGAAAAGCUGCUGCAAAACUGAAGAAUCACACUCUUCUGAACUGAACCUGCUACGAAACUGAAGAAUCAACCUCUGCAGGUUACAACCAAG
RNAcentral lists this long non-coding RNA (2649 nucleotides) under Triticum aestivum (bread wheat). RNAcentral describes it as "long non-coding RNA (TAES_LNC013410)". The record is from RNAcentral. Lineage: Eukaryota; Viridiplantae; Streptophyta; Magnoliopsida; Poales; Poaceae.